This 8492-nucleotide long non-coding RNA is filed under the name Musa acuminata (dwarf banana). Its description in RNAcentral is "long non-coding RNA (MACU_LNC001203)". Lineage: Eukaryota; Viridiplantae; Streptophyta; Magnoliopsida; Zingiberales; Musaceae. The record is from RNAcentral.
GUUCAUCAAGGAGCCCUUCUCUUCUCGUGGAGAAGCCUAGGGUUCGUUCUUGAUGGGCGCGGAAGUGCUCGUCGCCGUCGCGCUUUCCAUGGUGGAUCGAUUGAGCGCCUAGAUCGGUACGUGAAGUUAGCUCUUGAUUUGAUCGUCUAUUGAUGCAUCUGAUCUUAUAUGCACACACUACCAAAUAAUUUCUGGAAUAUAACCUAAACUUGGAUCGUCAGAUCUAUCCGAACUCUUUCUUUUUCCUCUGAAACUUCCGAGACAGAACUCAACUCAGUUCGUAUUGCCGCAAUCUCGGUUGGUAUUUUAUCUGCAUUAUAUAUCAACGGGAGUCACUCGAACAGGUCAUUCGAGGUUUCGUGUUUGUUCAAAACAAGAUUUAGCAUAUAUAUAUAUAUAUAUAUAUAUAUAUAUAUAUAUAUAUAUAUAUAUAUAUAUAUAUAUNNNNNNNNNNNNNNNNNNNNUAUAUAUACUAUAUAUAUAUAUAUAUAUAUAUAUAUAUAUAUAUAUAUAUAUAUAUAUAUAUAUAUAUAUAUAUAUAUAUAUAUAUAUAUAUAUAUAUAUAUAUAUAUAUAUAUAUAUAUAUAUAUAUGUAUGUAAUGUUGGGAUACAGGUGCUCGUAUGGGAUCUAUGUAUAUGACACCAAGGUUUCACCUGGAAUUGUUGGUCAGAUCUUUUACUUAUUUGUGAUGUCCUAUGAGCAUUAGAUCGAACUCAACAUCCGAACUAGUUGAAAAUCGUCAGAGUGUCUGAUGGUCUUCAUUUUUUUUCUUUUACUUGAAUGAAUAAUCAUUGCCGCUAAUUGUAUCUUGUUGGAGGAAGAAAGAUCAGAAUUGCUUUUUUAACCAAAGCAUCUGAGUGUGCCAUGUCAUCUAUACUGCUGAAGCAUGAUUGUGUUGAUUUCUUAUGUCCUGCAUUAGAACUUGACCAUGUUAGGCAUUGAUUUCAACAGUGUCUAAGUGCAUGAACUUUAACUCUUGGAGCUACUGAGCUCAUGCGUGCUGCCAUUCCCACACAACUGCAGGUAUAUUAUAUAUUCAAUUUCUUUAUUCUGUUAAAGCAAGAUCAAGAUUAAGUUUUCAAGGCUGUGGAGCAGUCUUUCUUCUAGUACAUCUCUUUCUGUAGUUUUUCUUGCUCUGUAAAUCGCCUGAUUCUUUUUAUUUCUACAAAGGUCUUCAGCAGAUUAGCAUGUUAGAAUUCGGUAAUAAGGGAUCAUUAUUUGGACCAAGAUUUUCUUCGAGUGACCAGAAUUGCACUUUGGGAGUAGAUACUGAUUGAUUUGACAGAUCUGGAAAAUUAGUUAAUAGGUGCAACAUUCAUUAUUGUGCAUGAUGAGAUAUGCAUAAUUUUACAGUAAUCAGUUAUCCAACAUAAACUCAAUAGAUGAUACUAACUUGUUUAUGAGAUACCUGUCAUACAAAUUCUCAUCCAUUGUGCCAUCUUUAAAUUGACAGCUUUCUGUCUCUCAUUAUCUGCAUCUCCUUUGACAUCGAAACCUUCAAAUGACAUCCUAUUCUUAGUUGGGUGAGAUUCAGCUAUUUAUUUCUUCAUCUUCGUUGCCCUCCAUGCCUUUUAUCCAAUCCUCGGUGCCUUCAUUUUCUAAUCUGGCUCUAAUUAAUGCUUCAAAGUCAAUUCAACUUCAGCUAUUUGUUACAUGCCCCAUUCUAUAUCACCAUUUAAAGUUCACUUCGACCUUUUGGGACAAUGGAAUCCAACUUAAAUCCAUUUUUUAACAAAAAAUAAGAUGUAGGCAAAAAUCUGAGAACCCAAAGAUUCUUCAAAAAUUAUUGGUUGUCAGGUUUUUUCUUCUACAAUUUUGGUCGGCCAUUAAAUUUAAUCUGUUUGGCAUGAUCAUCUGGACUGGUGCAGCUGCAGUCUAGUUUUUAAGAUUCUUGAAGGAUUACUUGAAUCAGUUUUCUAAUCUCUUCAUAUCAGUUAAAGUUGGCAAGAAAAGAAGUACUCAGUAUUGAAUUAUAUACUUUUGUAUGUUUGCUUCUAUGUUGACCGGUGGAGUGAUGACUUCUGUCAAAAUGCACAGAACACCUCCAUGAAUGAUCUGUUCAUGGCCAUAAAGAAUCUGUUCCAGAAGUUUUUCUUGGCAUGCCUUUCAUGUUUCCUUCAUUCAUUCCCAAUUCUCUAAGAUUUAGUUCUUAAAUCAAGAGACUAUUUACCAACUAAUAAGUGGUCUAGCCAGUGCUUUUUUGAGCACCUCCAUUCAGGAUUUUAUGCUGGUGUCUAGAUAUAUCAUUCACAUGUUCAGAAGAGUAACUAAAAGAAAAAAAAAAUUAAGAAGAAUAGCAAAUACCAGACUUUAAUACCUUCAAUUAUCAGUUAUUAUUUUCAUCCUACAUCCUAACUUUCUCACACUUAUGUUAAUAUGAGUAGUAUUUCUGCCACUUUCAGCUGUGUUACAACCUGUAUUUAUAUUAGAUCGAACCAUUACUGGCAUCAUUUUUCAAUUUGCUUUGCUUAUGGCAGAGCAAGGAACUUGAUCACUCUAUUGCAAUGUUAAAUAAUAUGAUCUAGACAUUUCUUUCAUCCGGCUUUGGCUUUUAGCUUUAUUCUAACUUGCAUAUUGGUGUGUUACCAGUUUGUAUAUCUUAAACAUGAGCCUUUAUAAGGGAAUGAGCUUAUAGUUGUGGUCCUGGUUGACUUUAUCUAGUCAUCAUCUAAAAUGCCUUACAUUGCAAAAUUCCAGACAGGUUCUUUUCUUGCUGCCAUUCUUAAUUAUUGUGUACAGGUGUCAUUCUUAUAUGAAUUAUCUUUUACUUUUAUUCUUCCUACAAAUUUAAGGAGAAUCAAAUUUCAUGUUGUUGGUCUUUUAAUCAUCUUAUUUACAAAUUGUGCUACAAUUCUUUUGCUAUUGCUGGUGGACUUGUUUCAGUCUGCAUCAUAUCAGCCGCCAUUAUCCGAGUAGCUUGAUUAAAUCCUUAGGCACUAAUCUGGACUGUGCAAGAGACAUGACAUGCAUAACUUCAUUCACAUAAUUAGCCUUUACUUCUAUUUAGAACAUAUGUCUGGUGGUUUCCCCAUGCAUUCAUAUUAGAGAUGAUUGAUUGAUUUUAUGAAGAAUGUUCACUUAUUUAAUUAUCUGAUAAGCAUUCAAUGAAUUUUUCCAUUGAUGUUUUUUUGUAUUCUUGUGAGGCAUUAUAAGAGAUAAUAAACAUUAAGAAUAUCCAGCUUUAGAUUUUUUAUACUCAGUUCUUAUGAUAAUCAAACAAUGAUCACAAUAUGACUAAUCUCCUACUCUUGGUUUCUCAUAUUAUCCUUUUAACUUAUUUUUGACUAAUCUAACUCUCAUUUUCCUCAUGAUUAGGGUUGGAAACAGAUCAAAUAUAAAUUAUAUACUUGGAAAACCUUAUUUAUACCUGCUAUUAAUCAUUGGAUGCAAAUAUGAAUAUAAAUAGUGGACAGAUUCUGAAUUUUUUAAUUGCAUUUGUGCUACAUAGAUAUGGUUACAUUUCUGAUAUAUAUAUAUAUAUAUAUAUAUAUAGUGAGCCAUAUAUGUUAGCGAUAAAUAGUUAAGCCAUUGAUUUGGACCCACUAAUGAUAUUUCUUAUAGAAAGUCCAGAAAGCAAAUGUCAGAAUAGUAAGGGAGAAUGGAAAAAGGAGCAAAAAUGUACCUUGAAAACCAUCACAGUUAUCACAUAUAUUUUAGUUCGAUGGCUACAUAUAUUGAGGCCUGUAUAUGAAUAUUGACUCACAGUCUCAUCCAUGUCUAAGAUAAUUAAAUUAACAAAAUUUUGAUAUAGAUGCAGAUAUGUGAUCGAUUUAUAAUGAUAGCUAGGCUAGGCCUUGAGCUACAACAUAACAAACUCUAACGGAUGAUCCAUCCGACCCACUUUCACACUUUAGUAAUAGAAUAUCAUCUUUUUUGCUUAACUCUUACAAUACUGUUACUGAAAAAAAACACUCUCUACUAUUUACAUACAUCCAGAUUUCCAUGCAUUACUAUGGUUGUAUAGUUUUGUUCACUUUCCACCUUCUACAACUUUGGUCUUUGGUAUUCUUUUAGUAUAUGGAUUGAUCUCAUUAUACACAACUAUGCCUAGUAAUCUUCCAUAGGAAUAAGCAGGAUAGGAAUUUCUUUUAAUAUCCAAUAUCAAGAUAUAUUUGCAUGCAGAUGUGCUUGUGUGCAUAUGUAUAUUUCUCGUUUUCCUUCCAUUUAUUUGUAUUACUACACAUAGGUGGGACACACACGAGGCGCUUUAUUGGGUAUUAAACCCUUGACUCGUGGAAAAAUUCUCCUUGAUACAAACUUCUUGAAUGGUGAUUCAAGUCAAUAUCAUGUUGAAAUACUUUUUUUUAUGUUUAGUAAUACAUCAAUUUUUGGUUCAACUUCUUAAUUAAUUCUUUUUCUGAAUCCUUCAUUUUUUAGUUUUAACAGAAUCGAUUUUCAUAUAAUACUUUAGCAAAAUCAUUUGAUUCUUUCUGAACACUAUUAGUUAGAUUUGUUGGAGAAGCUUAACAUGAAUGAGUGGCUGAUAAUGAGGAUGUCCUCUCAUGGUGCUACCAUGGAUCAGAAGAGAUGAUUUCAAGAAUUUUCAGCAAUUGAAACUACCUGAAAAAGCAGAGAAUCUGGAGGUAGUUUUGUUAUGGCAAUGGUUUAUAGAUCAGUUACUUGAUAUGCUGAGUGAGUGAGUUUUAAAUCAAGGAUAUCAAUGAAAUCAAGGAUAUCAAAAUGUAAGCAGAGGGAUACAUAGAAUAUGUGGAAAGCUUCAACUAUUGAAAUUUCAUGAACCGGGGGGAGAGGAUUUAAAACUAGUUGUGAAAAAAGAUGACAAGAUACAAGAGGAGAAAUACAUUGUCUUAUUGAAAUAAUGAUAUCUAACUCUAAGUUGGACUGACAUUCCAACUCGGAAAGUUUUACUGCAUUUUGCAUUUAUUUUCUAAAAACACAUAAAACUCAUCAAAGUGACCUGAAGAGAAGGAAAAGUAAUAGUUUUAUCAUGAAACUUGUGGGUACUUAGCCAUGAACUGAAUGGGAAGAUUUUAUUGUUGGUGCCUUUAGCCCUAGCUUGAUGCUCUGUUGCUGAAGCAACUACUAGGAGCUCUUAUCACUAAACAGCCGUCGUUGCUUAAAGGGUUGACAAGUAUAUUUAUAUUUUUAAGGCCCUUAGAGGAUAAGAAAUUCAAGUAGGAAGAAAACUCUCAUAUAAAAGAAAGAAACCAGGAAUUUAUGGAUUGAUUUUUAUAUAAAAGAAAACUCUAUGUAUCUUUAGGUUUUGCUAGAAGACAUGUAGGUAAAACACUUUAAUAAGGUUUCUCUCCAGGAGAUUUAGAAAGGGUGAGGGAUUAUGUGAGAGGAGGGGUGCAAUGGGCUUUGAACUUGAUUUCUGAUUAACUCAAGAUAACUUCUAGUUUAUACCCCAUGAUGAAAAAUUGAAGUGUUUCUCUAUGGAUAUAGACAAGUAGCAUCGAAUCAUAUGGAUCUUGUAUUCACUCUUGUUUUAGGUUUAUUUUUUGUCAUUGAUUUUCUUUGGUUACAUCAGAUUUGUUGUUAGUUAGGACAUGAUUAAUUUGUCUCGUUAGAAAAUGAUCAAUUAAUUGACGGUGAAUGAAGUCGGCCAGCACGUCAAGGAUGACAAAUGGUUUCACUUAACUAUCAACCAUCUAUAAAGGUUUCAUGGUCCUCUUCUUAUCACAUUCAGGAAAAAGUCUCAUUCAUCCAAACUGUUAGUCAACAGGAUUAUGGGAGCUUAUUCAAUACUGAGUGUGGGAGUUUCUUCCAGAGAUUGAUUUCUUCCAAUCUUUCGGCCAUGGAUCCUUUACCUUGUUAGGUAACCAAUCUUGAUGUGGUGGGGAUCACAAGUGGCCACAUUUAAAAGCAAAGAAGAGAAUAAAAGCCAUUCACCAGCUAAAGGAGAAACAUCAUUGAUUUUGUCAUAACUCAUUGGGAACCGUGGGGCUCUUACAAAUUUUAUGCCAGCCUAUAUCAUAGACUGACGACUCUUCAAAGCCACAGAAAGCUGCUGCGCAACCCAUUUCACUUGUGCCUGGGGUGGGAGCUGCAACAGUUAGUUAUGGGCACAGAUAAAGAGCUGGCUUUGAAAGGUUUCUAAAGUUAUGGGCAGGGACCAAUUUGUUGCUGGCUUCUAAAUCAAUGCUUGGUAAUUGAAGCAUUCUAGGUGCUUGCUCACGUUGUCUCCAUGCGCUUUAUCUUUCUUGCUGUUUGCUUGCAGAAAGGUAAUGCGAUUCUCCUACUAGUCUAAAUGUUCUUAAAUCAAGUCAUAAAAAUAAUAUAGCCUGUCUUCUUAAUAGUCAAGUCAUAAAACCCGCACCGGAGGAAGUCAGUUAAUCCUUAUUCAUCCGGUGUUUGGCAAUGAUGGAAACAUGGAGGAGGAAGCUAAGAACACGUCGAUGAUAGGGAGAUUAUGCGCAAAACAACUGCAGUGCAGUUUGAUGUAUCCUUACUGGCUCUGAUUGGGACAAGGCUGUGAAUCGUUGUAAUGAGAGACUUUCCAGGGCACGAGUCUCGAUCAGCUGCAGCUGUGCCUUGAAACAGAGUGAGCAAAGAGGAAUAGUGGUAGUCUGGGGAUGUCAUGGAUGGGCCUCCCAGAGUCCUUUGUUCUUUUUGUCCUGGGGUCGCGGUGGUGACCAGUGGGAGGACACAAAGGCAAAGUGAAGGGAUUCUGAUGCUUGUACUCCAAAUUCUGAGGAAGGCUUCAGAGUACGGAGCACACAGUAACUCUUGGCUGCACCUCAUCAAACCCCCUCCCCUCCCUCUCUGCUCCACCUUAAAAGCAGAUAACAACACACACCCACUCUUUUUCUUUCUUUCUGUCCUUCUUUCAACUUUUACCCACCUCUCUACUCUUACUCUUACAUGAAUCAUUUCCACCGCAAAUCUUUCAACUUUGACAGUGAGUGGUCACGUAAAAGCCUUUCUAUGUUCAAAGUCUGUUGUUUGACCGCUGACAAUCUUCACACUUUUGUUGACGAACUUAAUCAUCGUUCGAUAAGUAGCUGAGGCUGAAGCAAGUUUUGGGAAACAGUCUCUCCACUUCAUGAUUGUUUUGGUUGAUCUCUGUAGAGAAUGCAUAAAAGAAAGAAAGUAGUCGUUUGUGUGUAUUUAAUGCGAUCCUUCGGCUGUUACUGGUGUAUAGUUAAUGGGCCAAAAUUGGCCUAUAGUUCUCACAUCAUCUGUCUUCUCACAGAUGAAAGUUCUUCGAGCUCUUACUUCCAAAUUCAUGGUGUGCUUAUAGCAAAUGCAUGCAUAUAUACACUUGAUUGUUUCUGAUCCUACUCUUUGCUUGUCCAUUUAGUAAUUUGAGACAGUUUUUUGCAAUCCAAUACGAUAUGAUAGUUAAUCAUCUAUUAAUUUUGUCGAGCCUUUUUUUUUAGCGUUUCUCUCGUUUCCGAUGCCAAAGCCUAGUUGAAUUUUCAUCUGUUUUCCCACCAUUUGUUCCAUUCGGGCUCCUGUUUCUUUCUGCUUGCCCAUUCAACUUCUUGAAACGUGCUCGCUCUUUUACCAUCUUCUCGGUAGUUUCCUUGGAUACCCGAAGACUACAUUCAAAGAUGUGGAUGUCUUUUACUUUAGUUUUGUUGCUUUUUGUAGAGAUAAGACACAUCAAAAUUUAUUCCCUAUAUUUCUUGGUGGCAUGCAUUAUUCCCUGAUUUGAUCUGAGAGCAGGAGGGUGGCCGUGAACGUCAAUGUUUGUCUUUUCUCGUGGUCCGAAGAACAACGAGAAAAAGGGAAGGAAAGAAGAGUAGAAAUGUUCUUUUUGUCAUAAGCUGCCCCCACACUUUUUUGCCUUGCGUCUUUGGUCACAUGCUCUUCCUUUCUUCUCCCUCAAGCUUCUAAACUGACCUUACCCUCCAGCAAAAGGUACGUACCCAAAUGCGCACAACUUCAAGUCAUAGGUGGAGAACAGCAUCCUUGGCUUCUAAAGAUCGGAAGAAAUUUUCUUUUUCUUUUCUUUUGUUUCCUUUUUCGUUGUCUUCUUUUGAUGGUACGAUGUAUUGGUGGCGGAAUGAUCGGUUUUUCUUUGUGCUACCUGAAUUAGCCUUUGAAAUAUGUUUUUUUUUUUCAAAUAAUUAUUUCAUACAUUGGUCUAACGAAAUCUUCCUUUGAUACUUCAAUCAGAUCUCAAGUCGGAGAAUGCAAGGACUAUAAAUGCAUAAUAUAUCUAUAUAUAGAAGAGAUGAAGGGUAAUUAAAGAGUACAAAUGAAGUCAACAGCGAAUUAGACUGCCUUCAUGUACCUCGUACGAUCAUAUAGAGAUUGUCGAUGUAUUUGCUGGUGAGUCCACUAAGGUGACACUAGCGAGCGAUGUCGGCCAAGUUAUGACUCGUUAAUAUCGUCAUUGAAUUUCUGCAACAUGUUAAUCUGAUCAAAUAGUCCCAUCUGUUGUUCCACAUCAGUCCUCAAAGUUAUCUCCUAAAAAGUGGUCAGUUUUCAUGACUUCAACCAGUGGUAGUUCUUUUAUAAUUCUUCAAUUCAGCUAAUAUCAAUCGCUUGCAAACUAUAAGUUUCUAAUUUUUGAUAUUUC